This is a long non-coding RNA of Molossus molossus (Pallas's mastiff bat), 562 nucleotides long. RefSeq lists it as uncharacterized. The record is from RefSeq and is a predicted model, not a curated record. The transcript is spliced from 3 exons. NCBI's taxonomy places the organism in Eukaryota, Metazoa, Chordata, Mammalia, Chiroptera, Molossidae.
CGGGGGCUUGGGCCGCGCGGCAGGCGGAACUGGGGCCGACGCAGGCCCCCAGGCUUGAGGGAGCUACAGCCCACUUGGAGAGGCCAGAUGAAGUAAUCACGCCGCCGAAGAGGGUGAGGUGGUGAAUGCUCAGCAGGAAAGCAGUUUUCCAUAACAACGUGUCACCAGGAGCCUGAUGGAGACUCUCGAAAGCAUUCCUGCGAUGGGAUCCUUGAGCUAGAUUCUAAAGGGCGAGUUCCCUGAAGAUGUGUGUGCACGCUGGGUGAAACUCUGCUGAUUCCAUCUCUGCCUGGUUCUCUGGGCCUAAAAUGUGAUUUGUUUGAGGACCGCCCAGGUUUGUUUGGUUCAUUGUUAAGCACAUACUUUUUUAACGCUGACCUGCAUAAGACCCUGUUUUGUAUGGAUAUGAAUAAAUGGGGUCAGACUCCAAGGAGACUUGUCACACUGUUUUCUGUGCACAGUGACGGUGUGUCUGAGGGUGUCGCCUCUGCUUCUGAGAUGCAUGGUUGGCAGCACUGUUCCCCGUGAAAGUGACUCAUAGAGAGCCACUCGCCAUUCUCUA